RNAcentral lists this transfer RNA (73 nucleotides) under Vicugna pacos (alpaca). RNAcentral's name for it is "tRNA-Ala (AGC) (tRNA-Ala-AGC-160-1)". It matches the Rfam family "tRNA". Rfam says of the family: Transfer RNA (tRNA) molecules are approximately 80 nucleotides in length. Their secondary structure includes four short double-helical elements and three loops (D, anti-codon, and T loops). Lineage: Eukaryota; Metazoa; Chordata; Mammalia; Artiodactyla; Camelidae. The record is from RNAcentral.
GGUGGGUAUAGCUCAGUGGUAGAGUGCAUGCUUAGCAUGCAUGAGGUCCUGGGUUCAAUCCCCAGUUUCUCCA